RNAcentral lists this ribosomal RNA (1752 nucleotides) under bioreactor metagenome. RNAcentral describes it as "bacterial LSU rRNA". It matches the Rfam family "Bacterial large subunit ribosomal RNA", at positions 770 to 2474 of the family's 2925-position model. The record is from RNAcentral.
AGGCCCGAACCGAUAUACGUUGAAAAGUGUUCGGAUGACCUGUGGAUAGGGGGGGUGAAAGGCCAAUCAAGGUUGGUGAUAGCUGGUUCUCUUCGAAAUGCAUUUAGGUGCAGCGUCAUGUGUUUGCCUGUGGGGGGGGUAGAGCACUGAAUGGGCUAGGGGGGGGCAUACCGCUUACUGAACCCAAUCAAACUCCGAAUACCACAGGUUAAGAGCAUGGCAGUGAGACUGCGGGUGAGAAGGUCCGUAGUCGAGAGGGUAAGAGCCCAGACCGUCGGUUAAGGUCCCGGAGUGUGUACUAAGUGGGAAAGGAUGUGAGAAUGGUUAGACAACCAGGAGGUUGGCUUAGAAGCAGCCACCCUUUAAAGAAAGCGUAACAGCUCACUGGUCUAGCGUUUUUGCGCCGAAGAUAUAACGGGGGGGCUAAGUACACCACCGAAGCCACGGACUUCAGAUUUAUCUGGAGUGGUAGAAGAGCAUUCUGUACAGCGUUGAAUGUUACUGUAAGGUUAGCUGGAGCGUACAGAAGAGAUAAUGUAGGCAUUAGUAGCGAUAAAAUGGGUGAGAAACCCAUUCACCGAAAGUCUAAGGUUUCCACCGGCAGGGUAAUCCGCGGUGGGUUAGUCGGUCCCUAAGGCGAGGGCGAAAGCCGUAGUCGAUGGGAAACAGGUUAAUAUUCCUGUACCGACUCAUAUUCGUUUGUACGAUGGAGUGACAAAGAAGGUUAAGUGGUCCGGGUGAUGGAAGUCCCGGUUUAAGCGUGUAGUCUGAGCUGGCAGGUAAAUCCACCGGCUUAAGGAUGAGGCGUUAUGACGAGCCCCCCCGUAACAAGGGCGAAGCCACUGAUACCAUGCUUUCGAGAAAAACUUCUAAGGAGAAUAUGAGUCGUCCGUACCGCAAACCGACACAGGUAGACGAGAAGAGAAUUCUAAGGUGUUCGAGAGAAUCAUGGUUAAGGAACUCGGCAAAAUGUCACCGUAACUUCGGGAUAAGGUGAGCUCUUAGUAUGUGUAAUCCCUCGCGGAUGUAGCAGAACAGAGUCGCAGAGAAGAGGUCCAGGCGACUGUUUAUCAAAAACAUAGCACUCUGCUAACUGGUAACAGGAUGUAUAGGGUGUGACGCCUGCCCGGUGCUGGAAGGUUAAGAGGAGGUGUUAGCGCAAGCGAAGCUCCGAAUUGAAGCCCCCCCAGUAAACGGCGGCCGUAACUAUAACGGUCCUAAGGUAGCGAAAUUCCUUGUCGGGUAAGUUCCGACCUGCACGAAUGGCGUAACGAUCUGGACGCUGUCUCAACCAUGAACUCGGCGAAAUUGCAGUAGCGGUGAAAAUGCCGUUUACCCGCAGCAGGACGGAAAGACCCCCCCGUGGACCUUUACUAUAGUUUGGCAAUGAUACUUGGUAUAUUAUGUGUAGGAUAGGUGGGAGACGUUGAAAUGUGGUCGCUAGAUUGCAUGGAGUCAACCUUGAAAUACCACCCUUAAUGUGCUGAUUAUCUAACCUAGCCGGUGUGUAACCGGAGGGACAUUGUCUGACGGGUAGUUUGACUGGGGGGGCGGUCGCCUCCGAAAGAGUAACAGAGGCGCGCGAAGGUAUUCUCAGAUUGGUUGGAAACCAAUUGACGAGUGUAAAGGCAUAAGAAUGCUUGACUGCGAGACUUACAAGUCGAGCAGGUAGGAAACUAGGCCUUAGUGAUCCGGUGGUUCCAAGUGGAAGGGCCAUCGCUCAACGGAUAAAAGGUACCCCCCCGGGGGGGA